This 805-nucleotide ribosomal RNA is filed under the name uncultured fungus. RNAcentral's name for it is "SSU rRNA". It matches the Rfam family "Eukaryotic small subunit ribosomal RNA", at positions 562 to 1375 of the family's 1831-position model. Lineage: Eukaryota; Fungi. The record is from RNAcentral.
UUGUGCCAGCCGCCGCGUAAUUCCAGCUCCAAUAGCGUAUAUUAAAGUUGUUGUGGUUAAAAAGCUCGUAGUUGAACCUUGGGCCUGGCUGGCCGGUCCGCCUCACCGCGUGCACUGGUCCGGCCGGGCCUUUCCCUCCGUGGAACCCCAUACCCUUCACUGGGCGUGGCGGGGAAACAGGACAUUUACUUUGAAAAGAUUAGAGUGCUCCAGGCAGGCCUAUGCUCGAAUACAUUAGCAUGGAAUAAUAAAAUAGGACGCGCGGUUCUAUUUUGUUGGUUUAUAGGACCGCCGUAAUGAUUAAUAGGGACAGUCGGGGGCAUCAGUAUUCAACUGUCAGAGGUGAAAUUCUUGGAUCAGUUGAAGACUAACUACUGCGAAAGCAUUUGCCAAGGAUGUUUUCAUUAAUCAGGAACGAAAGUUAGGGGAUCGAAGACGAUCAGAUACCGUCGUAGUCUUAACCAUAAACUAUGCCGACUAGGGAUCGGACGGUGUUAUUCAUGACCCGUUCGGCACCUUACGAGAAAUCAAAGUGCUUGGGCUCCAGGGGGAGUAUGGUCGCGAGGCUGAAACUUAAAGAAAUUGACGGAAGGGCACCACCAGGGGUGGAGCCUGCGGCUUAAUUUGACUCAACACGGGGAAACUCACCAGGUCCAGACACAAUAAGGAUUGACAGAUUGAGAGCUCUUUCUUGAUUUUGUGGGUGGUGGUGCAUGGCCGUUCUUAGUGGUGGGGUGGACUUGUCUGCUUAAUUGCGAUACGGACGAGACCUUUAACCUGCUAAAUAGGCCCGCAUUGCUCCGGC